CAAUGAUGAUGAUGGUAAGAGGAGGCUGGGGACCUACCACCAGCACUUAUUAGGGGGACUCUGGGCAAUGGCCAGAAAGCCCACUAAUUUGAGUAAGUACCAGGCCGUUGCUGUAUGCUUCAUGCAUCAAAUUCACCUGAGAAAUGACCCUCAAUCUGGCCACCUUACUCCUGGACUCCGACUCAUACACAUGCCCCUCCAUGACUGUCUGGACACUCUGACAACUUCCACCACCAACAGCCCAGAUCUGACUGAUGUUGCCCUGCAAAGCCCAGAUGAGUCCUUCUUCACUGAUGAAAACAGCUUCAUGGAAGACUGAAUCAGUCUCUUCAAGCCUUACAGAUUCUUCAGAGUGAGAUCCAGGCUACAAAACAACAGGCUUGAGAAAAAAAACCUUUGCAAUGUUCCAGCCCCAUGGUUUCAAGCCAGGAGACCUGGUCCUGAUAUGCUUGGUUUGCUUGCACCGAGGACUUGACUAAAUACAUUCCCAAAUCAAUCUUGGCUACCCAAUCUGCCACUUUAUUUUGUGUCACUGUGUAUGUUGUUCCACAAGUCUUGUAUUAUAAUAAAAGAGGGGGCUGCAAACAUCUGGGAUUAACCACUGAACACUACAGGAGUAAACGAG
Molecule: long non-coding RNA, 625 nt
Filed under: Heterocephalus glaber (naked mole-rat)
Lineage: Eukaryota; Metazoa; Chordata; Mammalia; Rodentia; Bathyergidae
Description: lncRNA (ENSHGLG00100043861.1)
Source: RNAcentral